UUCUCAAAUUAUUGUUGCAAUCUGAUCUAUCCCACUUCCGCGGGCGCAACAAUGACAAGCAAGCUAAGGAAGGAGACUUUUACUGCUGGUUGAGCACAACAAUGAUUGAGAACCGGAAAAUUGUGAAUACGAUCGAUGGUUUGGACAAGGUACAUGGAGAGAAACUUGCUACACUUGAAGCUGUAUUGAAAGUUUUUCUGACCACAUCACAUGAUUAUAUCCCUUUGCUAGCUGGACUAUAUUUUGAUACCUCGCCUGGUUUCCUAGUGGACUAUGAUGCUGCUUUUCCCGCAACUCCGAUCCUCUCUCAACCAGAAGCUAAGCUACUGGUGUAAAAUCAUCUGACAAUUCGAGUUCCAAAACUACCUCUUCAAUUCUCCCAGUCCGGGCUCAGCUGAUGAGUCUAAGAAAUUAAAUUAAAGACGAUGUAUUUUCAGACAAUGAAGCUGAAGAAAGCGGAAAAAUUAAAGGAAAGUUACAGCUAGCACCUUCUGAAGGUGUAGACACUCAAGUCUCGGGUUCUGGGACUAAUACUGGUUCAACUCAAAUCUCGAGCCCGGGGCUAAACACAACGUAACGAGCCAAAACAGCUAAGGAUGCCGCAGUUGGCCUGGAGCUGCACCAGGCCAGGCAGUGACACCCCUAGUACAGUAUUAAAUAAUACAAACAUGCAUCUUCUCUCCUUAAUUCCAUCUCAGACUCCAUCCCAUGGCAGCUGCUUUAAUUUUAUUUUUCUCAGAAGCCAAUAGGAAAUUCACAAGGCAAUGCAAACUCGCAAGAUCGAGCGAGGCUCAUCAGGUAGCAUUCAACCUUUAAUUUGCAUUGCCAUUUUUAAAUUGGAAAAAGUUCAGUUCUUAAGGACGUACGUACACCUCCUUUACACUCAUCAGGAUCCUAUCCGCAAGUACAGUUCCACACCUCAAAACAAACUCACAAAUUCAAUGCCUACCAACACCUAUUUAAUUUCCAUCUGCUAUAUAUAUAUAUAUUCUUUCAACCAUUCUUCCAUUCCUGCCCUAAUUCACUUACAAAUUAAUGUUCAUCAUCAAAACAUUCUAACUUUAAGUAAUCAAUUCAAGGAUUGAAUUUGAAUCCUUUUGUUUUUCCCUGGUUAUGUACACACUUAAAAAUAAUACAAAUUAUCUUGAGAUA
This is a long non-coding RNA of Ipomoea triloba (trilobed morning glory), 1152 nucleotides long. RefSeq lists it as uncharacterized. The record is from RefSeq and is a predicted model, not a curated record. Lineage: Eukaryota; Viridiplantae; Streptophyta; Magnoliopsida; Solanales; Convolvulaceae. The transcript is spliced from 2 exons.